AACGAACGCUGGCGGCAUGCCUAACACAUGCAAGUCGAACGGUAACAGCGGAGCUUGCUCCGGCUGACGAGUGGCGCACGGGUGAGUAACGCGUGGGAACCUGCCCUGGAGUGGGGAACAACCGCUGGAAACGGCGGCUAAUACCGCAUACGCCCCUUGGGGGAAAGCGUUUAUGCGCUCUGGGAUGGGCCCGCGUCGGAUUAGCUUGUUGGUGAGGUAACGGCUCACCAAGGCUACGAUCCGUAGCUGGUCUGAGAGGAUGAUCAGCCACACUGGGACUGAGACACGGCCCAGACUCCUACGGGAGGCAGCAGUGGGGAAUAUUGGACAAUGGGGGCAACCCUGAUCCAGCAAUGCCGCGUGUGUGAAGAAGGCCCUCGGGUUGUAAAGCACUUUCACUCGUGAAGAUGAUGACGGUAGCGAGAGAAGAAGCCCCGGCUAACUCCGUG
RNAcentral lists this ribosomal RNA (449 nucleotides) under uncultured bacterium. RNAcentral describes it as "bacterial SSU rRNA". It matches the Rfam family "Bacterial small subunit ribosomal RNA", at positions 29 to 507 of the family's 1533-position model. The record is from RNAcentral.